UUAAGAUUUUUAAAAGGGGAGUAGUUUGGCCAGCAGUUAUCAUGCUCCGAGCACCCGAUAAAUAACUGUCCACUAAACCGGGGAGGCCAGUGGCUUGGGCUGAGCUCCUGCACCAGCCGAACAGAGGACACCACCACGGGGUCCCCGGACGGACGGACGGCCGUGACUGGCUCAGGAGGGAAGCCUCCCCUGCUUUGGCCUCCGCCAGCAGAGUCACUUGGGGUCGCCGGCCACCUUCCCUCCUCCGUCCAUUCGCGCCCCCUCGGCCCUCCCGUCUGAGGCCAAACUCCUCUGCUCGGCGGCCAAGAACCGCAGACGGCAGCGACGGAGCGGGCGGGCCGCCUUCCCGCGGACUUCACGCGCUGUCCCCGUGGCCAUGACGGCCCGGAGCGCGGGGCGCUGAGGUCACCGCGGCAAGUGCCAGAGUCCCGACGAGUGACCUUGAGCAAGUCACGACACUCCCCCAGCGUCGGCCUCCCGCUGCGACGUCUGCGGGCCCCGCUGUCCGAGGGUGGACCCGAGAGGAUGGGAAGAACGGGGACCUGCCCCUGAGCUGCUGAGGAACUCUGGACAGGACAGGCAGCAGGAAAGGCACGGGGAGGGGAAGCCUCGGCCGUCUCUCAGGUUUGAUUGACCUUGUCGCUUCCUCAGCCUAAGACACUUUUUAAAAAUGAUACAAUAUGUGCUCAUUGUAAGGAAGUUGGAAAAAACUUUUUGCCAAGUAGAAAAGAGAGAAUUUCAAGUAUGUAAAACAUUCAGCAAACUACAGCUAACACCCACCAGCCACCACCUAGACGGCACCAAUCUUAAUAUUGAGCCGUAUUUUCUUGAAAUUUAAGUAAAAUAAUUGAUAUAACUGAAAGGAAAUUGGAGACUUUUCAAAAGAAGAAAGGAAACAAGUCCCACCCACGUGAUCCCAUCAGCCUUGACACAGCUCCUCAUCAGGAUCACAGACCCAGUGUAGACACCCAUCCUGUGCAAGUGUGUUGGCCACUGUCAGGCACUGCUGGGGCUUGGCUGUGUCUGCCGAGGACCUGGCCAGUCCUUCUGUAGGGAACGUGGAAGGCAGGCGCCCCUGCGGGGCCUCGGGGGACAGUUGCCCAGCCCAGGCGGCACUGACUGCUUCCUGCAUGUGUCUGUGGGCUUCUGUGGCUCUCUUCCCUCCAAGAUCACACAAGAUGGCCCAGCCCAGCCCCUGUCUAAACUCUGGCCACCUUAGGAACCUUGGCCACUCUGGGCACUGUCCAGCCACUAGCAGGUGUGAGCCAUCCUGCCAUGGCUCCUGCGCUGGACUUCCUGGGACCAUUCCCCAAUCAACGGAGCCACCUGACACUUAAGGUAGGUCUCCUCAGGAGCUGGAUGGCCCCUAAACCCAAGUAGCUUGCUGGCUUCCAUCAGACCAAAGCCACUGCCUCUGGUCCCGUGAUCUACCACUGAGCAGAGGCCAGGAUGCUGAGGUCACAGGCACGGGUCACUAAUCAGCAGCUGGGCGACUGUCCAAAGGAGAGAAGGCCUGACACCUGGGGAAGGUUCCUAGAUGCCCCCUCAGGUCUCAGAAACUCCUUUCCCAGGAAAGUAAGGAGGGCAGAGCGGCCCCCACCCGCCCACGCCAUGAUGUCAGGCCGGAGGCCAGGCUGGCCAUGAAGAUCGAGCUGCAGGCGGCCCCUCCUGGCCUGUCCACGGGGUGGGCGGCUGGGUCGCCUACAGGUCAGCAGAGCUGCAUCCUGCAGGGUGUGAGGGCACGGGCUGGCCACUCGCUGGCCUUUGGAAUCUGAAAAGAGUGAGGAGGGCUUACUUGGCUGUCUGUCCCGGGCUCAGCAGGAUGCUCGACGCUGCCCCACACACCUGCACACUGCGGUGACCCGACCCAGAGACAGCUUCCUCCUGCCUCAGUGCAGGGCUGAGGUCACCAGCCGGCUCCUCCAAGUUCAUGGUCCCUGAGCUACCUGGACACCUCCCGCUGACACCCGCCACCCUUCCUCCCAAGUCCCAGAUGGGCCACUGGUUCCUACAUACCUGCUCACCUGCCAGGGAGCUCUACUGCCACCACCUAGCACCACGGAGCAGGGCCCUGCCCAAAAUGACACUCCCUUGUGCCCAGGAGCAGUGGGAAGCCUGCCACUCACACCGUCGUCUGCUGUGCCCAUGCCUCCCCGGGCCUCCCCUGGCCGUGGCCACAGCCCAGGGUCACCUUCCAAGAACUGAGGGUCCUGCUUCUCAGUUCUGCCAUGUCUACUGCUGACAACCAUGAUGGCUGCAGAGUGUCCCCCGCGGCCAAGCCCUAUGCCAAGUGCUCAGCCUCAUGGAGAGCAGAGAGGGCCCAGGAAGCGCCUCCUGAGCAGGGGGGAACCAAGGCCCCUGAUCUCGGGAUGAGGCCCGGCCCCUGGCACAAGGGCCUCUGGCUCCAGGUCAGUUUGCAGGACCCAGGAAGUGAGACCUCCCCAGUCUGCCUGGCUCCACCCCUGAGACUGGCUGGGGAAGUGGGAGGACAGGGUCUCUGCCUCAACAGGCUCUGCCCUCCAGAGACCCUGCUGCCCUGCCCCUCCUCAGCCCACAGUCCUCCUCUCCCUGCUGCACCCCUCCCUGCCCUGAGGCCCCCAGAGCGCCUUCCCUACACCACCCAGUGCCCCCACUGCCCCGAUCUUCUCCCUGUCCCCUCCACCCAGGUGCCCUCCUCUGCUUUAUCGGGCUCUCUGCUCACCAUCAACACUGGGCUCCAACGGACUCUCCUGGGGAGAAGGCUGAGCAGGCGGGCCUGGGGCACGGGGACUGCUGGGGGACUCAGGGCAUCCCACGGGACACGGCCCCGCACCCAGGGUGAGCUCCUUGCUACCAAUCUGGCAUCUCAUAGGCAUUUCUGGAAGGCCAUCUGGCCCCCAAGCCCCAGCCAAGCCACUUACCUGGAAGAGGGGAGCAGGCACGUCAUCAGGCGGGCACACACCUGGGAGGUGGCCCACUGCAGCCACUGGAUAAAAUCAUCUGGGCUAUUGGGAAGCCAGAUCAGCAGUCUGUAGGAACGAAGCCAAGACCACACACAUACACACACACACAGGUGUGCACAUGCGUGACACACAGAACUGCGCAGCCUUCCAGUGCGAAGCCAGAAUGAAAGCAGCCCAAAGCAGUUUCUCCUCUCGGCCCCUCGGGCCAGGCAGGCUGCCGACCGUCCCAGAGGUGGAUUCGGGAUUAGGUGGCAAAGACAGGAGUACCUAAAUCUAAAGCAAAGCCAGGCCACUUUGGGUCCUGGAGAGUCGGGGGACUUUGUGGAGAUGAAAAGGAAAAGCCUUGGCUGUCCAGGGCCCCGGGGCCCCACGGGAGGCAGCACCAGGGGCGCCCAUGGGGGGCUGGUCAGCCCCCCACCGACACAAAGAGGACCCCCCAGGGCUGUGAUAGACACCCAAACACAGACCACAACCCAGGACAAGGGCCGUGAGGGUCGGGUGGUCGAUUCUGGAGGGCAGUGGCAGAAUCCGGGGGCUGCCAGGGACUCUGCGGGAGGACUGGACUUCAGAAGAUGGGCUGGAGGACCUGCGGGCUAGCUGGCCAGGAAGAAGGGGAGCACUGAGCUGAGCCUCGGCCCAAUAAAACAGGAUGCAGCAGGAAGACAGGGAGCCCGGGCGUCAGCCACUGCCCGGGAGCUCUGCGGGGCGACAAGCACACUCCUCCCAGGAGGAGACCCCGAGGGGAGCCACAGUCUCAGCACAGAGCCUGAACCCAGCCCUGCAGACGUGGUGUCUACCUGGAGCAGCGGAUUCCCAGACAAUGCCCAGGACAAAGGUAUGAGAGAGAAAGAGGAGACAAACAGAAGAACUGGUCCAGGAAGAGAGAGAGAAGGGGCAAUUCAGAGGACAGCAAAUAUUCCAAGACAAUAUUACACCCAUAAAACAAGAACAGGGUGUUCUCCAAACGCAAGUCUUCUGAAGCAGUAGUCUUGGAUUUGUAUGGAAAUAACAAAUUUGGUUGGUGUUUAUUCAUGUCCUUUGAUUUUUUAAAAAUUUUUUUAGUUGUAGGUGGACACAAUACCUUUAUUUUCUAUUUAGGUGGUGCUGAGGAUCGAACCCAGCACCCCGCACGUGCUAGGCGAGCGCUCUGCUGCUGAGCCACAACCCCAGCCCUCCUUUGAUGUUUUGUAGCUGGAUAAAGUAACCUACUGUCAAUAAGUUAUAUGCAAUUUUGUGUUACUCUUCACACUGAAAUUGGAAUUCAAAUGUUUUUUUGGAAGGUAAAAAGGAGAGCCUGGUCUGUUUAAAGAUGACGUAAAACACGGAAGCAUUCUGCCACCUUUUCUACCAAAAAGUUAACAGCUCUCUUAGCCUUUGAUCCAUGUGUCAUAUGUAAUGUCCUGUCGUGUUAUUUGCCUGAGAUGAGGCCCUGCCUCCCACCUUACUCCCUGUUGGAGUGGCUCCAAAAUAGUCUAGGCUCAGCUCACUUAGAGUCAUGUUCAAAAGAAAGAAUUUUCUUGUAAAGAUUAUCAUGAUCUCAAAAUAAACAAAGGAUGUAAUACAUAAAACUAAGUAAAGGUUUAAGAUCAUUUUAAAAAUCAAGAACAGAACGUUCAGGAAGACAGAGAAGUGAGCGCCUAGACACUAAAUAUGCUUGUUGAGCUCAAAACUACAGAACAGGACUGGAAGAGAAGAUCUGAGGAAAUUCCAGAUCGGAGACUAACAGACAAAGAUGAAAUACAUGGGAAAGAGAAGGAGUCAGUAGACAGGAAUCCAACCCAGGAAGCCACAUGAAGGGGGAAAAGGAAUGGAGGAGAAAGGCUUGCUGGGGAGCAAGAGGUCAUUUCCCAGAGCUGGAGGGACAGACGGCUUUGACUGAGCAUGGGACAGUGAGUGUCCCCAGACAUGGCCUCGGGACGUUGCAGACCACGAGAGGUAGGAGGACAAUCCAAGCCCAGCAAGGCAGCCCACCUCUGUAACACUAGCCACUCAGAAGGUGGAGGCCGGAGGUCACAAGUUCAAGGCCAUCCUAGGCAACUUAGCAAGACCCUGUCUCAAAAUAAAUAAAUAAAAGGGC
Molecule: non-coding RNA, 5019 nt
Organism: Ictidomys tridecemlineatus (thirteen-lined ground squirrel)
Lineage: Eukaryota; Metazoa; Chordata; Mammalia; Rodentia; Sciuridae
Source: RefSeq, a predicted model, not a curated record